GACUACAAGCUUGCCAGACCAAUCGUCCUUAUCAAAACCGUAGGGCAAGCUUAAACAAACUCACGGCUUGCGACAACAAUGCCUUCCAAAACUUAAAACCCACUAACCACUAGGGCGUCAACAAUCACAAUAACAAGAUUUGAAGCCUGAGAUAGCCAGUGGAGAAUGAGUGGUUUUAGGUUUGAUUGAGAGUGGGAAGGAGACAUGAAGGGGAGGAGUUCUUGUGAGUGUUGAGGAAAAUCUUUGGCGAUGCUCUUGCUGAGCUUCUUCAUCGAGAGUUUGGUUUUGAUCCAAUGGUUUUGCAGUUUUGCAUCAGCUUCUUUUAUUCUCAUGGAAUUGCAUAGACUUGGUUCUUGAUUUGGUGACGGUGCAUUGGAUACUCAUAGGGCGAGGAGGCGGUUAGCUUUGUCUUAAAUGAGAUAACAACACAGUCUGCAUGCUUUUGUCGCCGUCCGGUCAACAGCAGUGUACAUGAAAUCCCCACCGGAGUUUUCACAAGAUCAUCUUAUUCAAAGGGGACUUGAAGUGAUUUAGGUAUGGAUGUGAUAUACAGGCUUUAAGAUGGUACCCUGCUUUUAUGGAGAUUAAGAAUGUAUGGACACCUUGAUUUGGAGUGGAUUUUAAUAUUUUUUAUUAGCAAAUAGGACAAGCUAUUGCACACACCUAGGGUGGUAAUAUGUUAAGGAAAAAAUAUAAUUAAUAGAUAUGUAAAACCAGCUACAUGUUUAAUGUUUACUAAAUUUCUCCAAUAAACAAAAAAGAAUAAAACACUUAAGUCAAACACUUAUAUGUUUUGCAUGAACAUGAAAUAGCUCAAGCAGUAGUCACCAUCUUGAUCUUCUUAGAAGAAGAAGAAGAAGCAUAACCAUCAUAAAGCCAAGUCUUAAGUCCAUAAAUAACAAUCUAAUCACCCUUAUACUUAAAAAGACAAACAUAAAGCUUCACCUUAAUUUCAAUCAACCAACAAACCACUUCACAGAUGUAUAAUAAACCUUUGCGUCAUUAUUAUACUUUGAAGAACAUUUCAAGAAGAAGAUCGAAGAAGAAGAACCAUCAUAAAGCCAAGCCUAAUUAAGUUAGUAUAUAACAAUCUCACCCUUACACUACCUAAGAAGACAAACACAAAGCUUUUCCUUUCAAUCAACCAAUAAACCAUUUACAGAAGUAUAAACCUUCGCAUCAUUAUUAUAACUUUGAAGAAGAAGCUAACCAUUAAAUUAACUUGGUUUUAGAAAAUAUUAUAGCUUUCAUGUCAUUGUGUAUGACUCAACUCUUAUGUUAGAUACUUUAAAUUUUGAUUAAUGAUGAGUUGGUAUUGAAGUAAUUAAAAUUUUUAGGGCAAACAUUGGGAGCAUGUGAUCUCAUCUUGAAGAGGAAAAAAAAAUAAAGAAAAAUAAAGAAGAAAAAGCGAAGGAAAAUCAAAAGAAAAGAUUUUGAGUUAGUCAUGAAAGAUUAUGACACAAAUUAGGUGUAGGAUAUCAUAAAUUUUAAAUAUAAUCAAAUAUGAUUUUUUCCCCAGAAGCUGAAUUAUUAGUUCUAGCUUUGCAUUGUGUUUUUUAGAUUUUUUUUUAAUUUUAAAUCAAUAUAUCAAUUAAAAUAAAAAUAAAAAAUGAAACUAACAAACCAUAGCCACUUGUCAUCCAUCUUAA
Molecule: long non-coding RNA, 1649 nt
Organism: Dioscorea cayenensis subsp. rotundata (Guinea yam)
Lineage: Eukaryota; Viridiplantae; Streptophyta; Magnoliopsida; Dioscoreales; Dioscoreaceae
Exons: 5
Source: RefSeq, a predicted model, not a curated record